AGCGCUAUAAUUCAAUGGCAGAAUGUUAGAUUCAUAUUCUAAAUGUGAAAGUUCGAUUCUUUCUAGCGCUA
This 71-nucleotide transfer RNA is filed under the name Oltmannsiellopsis viridis. RNAcentral's name for it is "tRNA-Met". It matches the Rfam family "tRNA". From Rfam's summary of the family: Transfer RNA (tRNA) molecules are approximately 80 nucleotides in length. Their secondary structure includes four short double-helical elements and three loops (D, anti-codon, and T loops). The record is from RNAcentral. Lineage: Eukaryota; Viridiplantae; Chlorophyta; Ulvophyceae; Oltmannsiellopsidales; Oltmannsiellopsidaceae.